UACNUUGUAGGUCUGCUCAAUGAUAAUUAAAUAGCCGCAUUUGUGCUAAGGUAGUAUAAUCACUUGUCUUUUAAAUGAGGACUAGAACAAAAGAUCUAACAUUUUAAUUUAUAUCUAUAAUAUAAAAAUUCAAACUUACUUCAAAUGUAAAAAAGCAUUUACUUAAAAGAAAGACGACAAGACCCUAUUGAACUUAACUUCAGUUUCACUGGGGCAGUAAAUUAAUUAUUAUUUUAAUCUAAAUAUAUAAAUAAAUAUCCAAUUAUUUGAAUAAUUCAGUUACCAUAGGGAUAACAGCGUAAUUAAUUUUAAGAGACCCUAUCUAAAAAAUAGAUUGCGACCUCGAUGUUGAAUUAAUAACCUAAUAUAAGCAAAAGUUUAAAAAGGAAGUCUGUUCGACUUUUAAAAAAUUACAUGAUCUGAGUUCAAAACCGGAGA
Molecule: ribosomal RNA, 438 nt
Filed under: Attulus penicillatus
Lineage: Eukaryota; Metazoa; Arthropoda; Arachnida; Araneae; Salticidae
Description: partial 16S ribosomal RNA
Rfam family: Bacterial large subunit ribosomal RNA
Source: RNAcentral